This 910-nucleotide long non-coding RNA is filed under the name Mytilus galloprovincialis (Mediterranean mussel). The record is from RNAcentral. Lineage: Eukaryota; Metazoa; Mollusca; Bivalvia; Mytilida; Mytilidae.
CACGUACUUGUGAUUUGUUUAAAAAGGUUUUAACGAAGAAAUGUCAAAAUGUUCAGAACUUAAUUAAAUCUGUUUUUGGGUAAGAUGGUGCAAGCACACGAUUUUUAUUGCGUCUUACACUUUGAGAAGCGAAUAAUCUUUAGCUACUUUAUUUAAAUAUUGUGUAAAAACGUUAAUUAUGAGCUAUGAAAGUCAAGUGGCUCAAGCAUUUUACUGAGGAAGUUUUAAAAAAAUGCAAAGAAAUAUUUUAACAGUGGGUUAGAUUUCAUUAGUCUUUACUAUCUAUAGAUUAACAACUUUUGGUUAUAUUUAUAAUUUAGAAUCAUCAUUGAAGGUGGAGCGCGAUUGCACAGUUAAUUGAUAUAUUGAUGUGCCAUUUGUAUGCAAGAGUGACAUUCCGGUGUAUUGUGUGCCAAUUCGAAAAAGUUAUGCGAGUAUUGUCUCCCUUUAACAGGUUCAUUAUUUUAUAAUUAAGUUUAGGUUUCUGAUAUUAAUUUGAAUAGUUACAAAAUGUAUCGAUUCAAUAUAUUUCAGUUUUUGUAAUUGGUGUAUCAAAAACAUUGAUGUACGAAUAUAAUUUCAUAAAUUUGAAACGUUUAAAAUGAUUACAUACCAAUAUAAAGAACCGUUCAUCAUUUUUGAAAAAGACUAUGAUUGAAAUUUGUAUUAUUUAUCUUCCCUUCAUGAUAGAUUGAUUGGAAAAUGAACCAAAGUUCUCUAAAGGUAAUCACAGAGAGGGACUAGCAAGCAAUUUUUAAUUGUAGCUUAUUUAACGUUAAAACAACUUUCCACUAUAAACAAAUGUUAUUUUAUACAAAUAUAAGGACCUUGUUAGCUAAAUCUACAAAUUGUAUUAGAUAUUAUGAAUUUUUAUUGCAAUAGAUUAAUAUGCUACAUAAUGCUAAUUUCC